Molecule: non-coding RNA, 31 nt
Filed under: Mus musculus (house mouse)
Lineage: Eukaryota; Metazoa; Chordata; Mammalia; Rodentia; Muridae
Source: RNAcentral
GGGGUUUAAAGGCCAACGAGAUGACCAUGCU